This 468-nucleotide ribosomal RNA is filed under the name uncultured bacterium. Its description in RNAcentral is "partial 16S ribosomal RNA". It matches the Rfam family "Bacterial small subunit ribosomal RNA", at positions 28 to 507 of the family's 1533-position model. The record is from RNAcentral.
GACGAACGCUGGCGGCGUGCUUAACACAUGCAAGUCGAACGGAAAGGCCCUGCUUUUGUGGGGUGCUCGAGUGGCGAACGGGUGAGUAACACGUGAGUAACCUGCCCUUGACUUUGGGAUAACUUCAGGAAACUGGGGCUAAUACCGGAUAGGAGCUCCUGCUGCAUGGUGGGGGUUGGAAAGUUUCGGCGGUUGGGGAUGGACUCGCGGCUUAUCAGCUUGUUGGUGGGGUAGUGGCUUACCAAGGCUUUGACGGGUAGCCGGCCUGAGAGGGUGACCGGCCACAUUGGGACUGAGAUACGGCCCAGACUCCUACGGGAGGCAGCAGUGGGGAAUAUUGCACAAUGGGCGGAAGCCGGAUGCAGCAACGCCGCGUGCGGGAUGACGGCCUUCGGGUUGUAAACAGCUUUCGCCUGUGACGAAGCGUGAGUGACGGUAAUGGGUAAAGAAGCACCGGCUAACUACGUG